RNAcentral lists this microRNA precursor (72 nucleotides) under Myotis brandtii (Brandt's bat). Its description in RNAcentral is "mir-9193 microRNA precursor family". It matches the Rfam family "mir-9193 microRNA precursor family". The record is from Rfam by way of RNAcentral. Lineage: Eukaryota; Metazoa; Chordata; Mammalia; Chiroptera; Vespertilionidae.
ACUGGAGGAGGGGUCCCUCAGCCCAGAUUACGAGAGGGCACAGGCCAGGCCGAGGGACCUCACCGGUGCAUG